RNAcentral lists this ribosomal RNA (253 nucleotides) under uncultured bacterium. Its description in RNAcentral is "partial 16S ribosomal RNA". It matches the Rfam family "Bacterial small subunit ribosomal RNA", at positions 524 to 776 of the family's 1533-position model. The record is from RNAcentral.
UACGGGGGGGGCAAGCGUUGUUCGGAAUUACUGGGCGUAAAGGGCGCGUAGGCGGCUCAAUCAGUCGGGCGUGAAAGCUCUGGGCUUAACCCAGAAAGGUCGUUCGAUACUGUUGGGCUAGAGUGUGGAAGAGGCUACUGGAAUUCCAGGUGUAGCGGUGAAAUGCGUAGAUAUCUGGAGGAACACCGGUGGCGAAGGCGGCAUCCUGGACCGACACUGACGCUGAGGAGCGAAAGCCAGGGGAGCAAACGGG